Motacilla alba alba is the source of this 308-nucleotide long non-coding RNA. RefSeq lists it as uncharacterized. Lineage: Eukaryota; Metazoa; Chordata; Aves; Passeriformes; Motacillidae. The transcript has 2 exons. The record is from RefSeq and is a predicted model, not a curated record.
GGUCAUUUAUAUAAAUGCCUUCCUCACAGGUGUCCUAAGGCUGUCCACAGAAGGCACUAACAGCUCAGUGCUUGAAAUGCUUUAGAAUUAGGCUGCAUGAGAAUAAAAUUAUUCUUAACUGCUUCACUUUUCCUUCCUAAAGAAUUACAUGCUUUUUUGACCCUAUAAUAAUGAGAUUACAAGAAGAGAAAAGCAAUGAGGAAUGAUGCUACAAGCAAUCAUAAGCAUCAGGUUCUGGUGACCACCACCUUGAGAGAAGCUGGGAUUUUCCUUCUGCAGUGAAAGAAAAUAAAUCAUACAAGUCAACA